This 253-nucleotide ribosomal RNA is filed under the name uncultured bacterium. RNAcentral's name for it is "partial 16S ribosomal RNA". It matches the Rfam family "Bacterial small subunit ribosomal RNA", at positions 524 to 776 of the family's 1533-position model. The record is from RNAcentral.
UACGUAGGGUGCGAGCGUUGUCCGGAUUUAUUGGGCGUAAAGAGCUCGUAGGCGGUUUGUCGCGUCGGCCGUGAAAUCUCCACGCUUAACGUGGAGCGUGCGGUCGAUACGGGCAGACUUGAGUUCGGUAGGGGAGACUGGAAUUCCAGGUGUAGCGGUGAAAUGCGUAGAUAUCUGGAGGAAUACCGGUGGCGAAGGCGGCAUCCUGGACCGACAUUGACGCUGAUGAGCGAAAGCUAGGGGAGCAAACGGG